GUGAAUCAUCGAAUCUUUGAACGCAUAUUGCGCUCGAGUCCUCGGACAAGAGCACGUCUGCCUCAGCGUCGGUUUAACCCCUCACAUCCCAAUCAUUCGUGAUUGCGUCGAGCCUGCAUUGGCUUGCGGGUGUGGAGUUGGCUCUCCCAAACGCCGGUGUUUCCGGUCGCGUGGGUUGGCUGAAGAAAAGUUGGCUUGAGCAAGGACCCUCUAUGGGUAUCAACUGGAUAGGUAUUUCGGCCACCGUGCCGUUUACUCGAAGUUGGUCCCUUGGACCCUGCUGGACGCCUGCAGGAAUCG
RNAcentral lists this unclassified non-coding RNA (300 nucleotides) under uncultured fungus. RNAcentral describes it as "sequence contains 5.8S rRNA gene, ITS2". The stretch from base 1 to 71 matches the Rfam family "5.8S ribosomal RNA", at positions 84 to 154 of the family's 154-position model. Lineage: Eukaryota; Fungi. The record is from RNAcentral.